RNAcentral lists this ribosomal RNA (756 nucleotides) under Weissella thailandensis. Its description in RNAcentral is "bacterial SSU rRNA". It matches the Rfam family "Bacterial small subunit ribosomal RNA", at positions 51 to 764 of the family's 1533-position model. The record is from RNAcentral. Lineage: Bacteria; Bacillati; Bacillota; Bacilli; Lactobacillales; Lactobacillaceae.
AUACAUGCAAGUCGAACGCUUUGUCUUUAAUUGAUAUGAAGAGCUUGCUCUGAUUUGAUUUUAUCUGACAAAGAGUGGCGAACGGGUGAGUAACACGUGGGUAACCUACCUCUUAGCAGGGGAUAACAUUUGGAAACAAGUGCUAAUACCGUAUAACACUAACAACCGCAUGGUUGUUAGUUGAAAGAUGGUUCUGCUAUCACUAAGAGAUGGACCCGCGGUGCAUUAGCUAGUUGGUAAGGUAAUGGCUUACCAAGGCGAUGAUGCGUAGCCGAGUUGAGAGACUGAUCGGCCACAAUGGGACUGAGACACGGCCCAUACUCCUACGGGAGGCAGCAGUAGGGAAUCUUCCACAAUGGGCGCAAGCCUGAUGGAGCAACGCCGCGUGUGUGAUGAAGGGUUUCGGCUCGUAAAACACUGUUAUAAGAGAAGAACGACAUUGAGAGUAACUGUUCAGUGUGUGACGGUAUCUUAUCAGAAAGGAACGGCUAAAUACGUGCCAGCAGCCGCGGUAAUACGUAUGUUCCAAGCGUUAUCCGGAUUUAUUGGGCGUAAAGCGAGCGCAGACGGUUAUUUAAGUCUGAAGUGAAAGCCCUCAGCUCAACUGAGGAAGGGCUUUGGAAACUGGAUAACUUGAGUGCAGUAGAGGAAAGUGGAACUCCAUGUGUAGCGGUGAAAUGCGUAGAUAUAUGGAAGAACACCGGUGGCGAAAGCGGCUUUCUGGACUGUAACUGACGUUGAGGCUCGAAAGUGUGG